Cavia porcellus (domestic guinea pig) is the source of this 138-nucleotide small nuclear RNA. It matches the Rfam family "U4 spliceosomal RNA". From Rfam's summary of the family: U4 small nuclear RNA (U4 snRNA) is a component of the major U2-dependent spliceosome. The structure of U4 snRNA from yeast and human has been reported. The record is from Rfam. NCBI's taxonomy places the organism in Eukaryota, Metazoa, Chordata, Mammalia, Rodentia, Caviidae.
AGCUUUGCUCAGUGGCUGCGUCAUAGCCAGUGAGGUUUAUCUGAGGUGUAAUUAUGCUAAUUGAUCACUUUUCCCAAUUAGCUAAUCAUGGAUAAGCUAAUUUGCAUAUCAGAAAAUUUUACCGACCAAUCCUGAUAA